GGCGAACGGGUGAGUAAUAUAUCGGAACGUGUCCAAUAAUGGGGGAUAACGAGUCGAAAGAUUCGCUAAUACCGCAUACGCCCUACGGGGGAAAGCAGGGGAUCGUAAGACCUUGCGUUAAUGGAGCGGCCGAUAUCUGAUUAGCUAGUUGGUGAGGUAAAGGCUCACCAAGGCGACGAUCAGUAGCUGGUUUGAGAGAACGACCAGCCACACUGGAAUUGAGACACGGUUCAGACUCCUACGGGAGGCAGCAGUGGGGAAUUUUGGACAAUGGGGGCAACCCUGAUCCAGCCAUUCCGCGUGAGUGAAGAAGGCCUUCGGGUUGUAAAGCUCUUUCGCAAGGGAAGAAAACUUAUGAUCGAAUAAAUCAUGAGGUUGACGGUACCUUGAUAAGAAGCACCGGCUAACUACGUGCCAGCAGCCGCGGUAAUACGUAGGGUGCGAGCGUUAAUCGGAAUUACUGGGCGUAAAGCGUGCGCAGGCGGUUUUGUAAGUCGGAUGUGAAAUCCCCGGGCUCAACCUGGGAAUGGCGCUUGUGACUGCAUCGCUGGAGUGCGGCAGAGGGGGAUGGAAUUCCGCGUGUAGCAGUGAAAUGCGUAGAUAUGCGGAGGAACACCGAUGGCGAAGGCAAUCCCCUGGGCCUGCACUGACGCUCAUGCACGAAAGCGUGGGGAGCAAACAGGAUU
This 686-nucleotide ribosomal RNA is filed under the name uncultured Methylophilaceae bacterium. RNAcentral's name for it is "bacterial SSU rRNA". It matches the Rfam family "Bacterial small subunit ribosomal RNA", at positions 97 to 779 of the family's 1533-position model. The record is from RNAcentral. Lineage: Bacteria; Pseudomonadati; Pseudomonadota; Betaproteobacteria; Nitrosomonadales; Methylophilaceae.